CCUACGGGAGGCAGCAGUGGGGGAUAUUGCACAAUGGGGGAAACCCUGAUGCAGCGACGCCGCGUGAGUGAAGAAGCACCUCGGCGCGUAAAGCUCUGUCAGCAGGGAAGAAAAUGACGGUACCUGACGAAGAAGCCCCGGCUAACUACGUGCCAGCAGCCGCGGUAAUACGUAGGGGGCAAGCGUUAUCCGGAUUUACUGGGUGUAAAGGGAGCGUAGACGGCGAGACAAGUCAGGAGUGAAAGCCCGGGGCUCAACCCUGGGACUGCUUUUGGAACUGCCUGGCUGGAGUGCAGGAGGGGUAGGCGGAAUUCCUGGUGUAGCGGUGAAAUGCGUAGAUAUCAGGAGGAACACCGGUGGCGAAGGCGGCUUGCUGGACUGCAACUGACGUUGAGGCUCGAAAGCGUGGGGAGCAAACAGGAUUAGAUACCCCUGUAGUC
RNAcentral lists this ribosomal RNA (440 nucleotides) under uncultured bacterium. Its description in RNAcentral is "partial 16S ribosomal RNA". It matches the Rfam family "Bacterial small subunit ribosomal RNA", at positions 338 to 795 of the family's 1533-position model. The record is from RNAcentral.